GCAUAGCCCCAGCAUCCCUGGAGGCCUGGUGGGAAAUUCUGGGCCCACAGCUGUGGGAUUGAGAAUCUGCAUUUUAACAAGCUCCCUUGGGGAUUCCUCUGAAGCCAGCCCCUGGCUUCUAUUCCAGAGGCUCCGUUGGUAUGUGUGGCAUUAGAGACUUAAGAGAGCCAGCAAUCACAGGUGCCAGGCAACAUUGGGGAGAGAGCUUAACUUGUUUUCACUUAACUGAUCUUCUCUGGGGGUGGGGAGGAGUCCCUGUUGCCAUGGUGGUUUCAAAGAUGAAGAAACACAGGAGUUACUGGACUGGCCAGAGCUAAAAUGCUAACCUUCAAGUACAGAUGUCUCAGGCUCUCAUCCAUAAGACAGAAUUACUCCUGGGACUGAGAGGCUCCAGCGCAUCUGUCAGAGGCAAGCCACACGUUGCUCCAGACACUGACGGCAAAGCUCCUGCCGCAGCGGGCCCAGCACUCCAUCAAUGGAAUAGGAAGAGUGGAGCUGAGGACAGCUAAGCCACCUUCUGUGUGGAGCCUCCCACAAUUCCCUCCCAUCAUGCUCCAGUCAAGCACAGGGAGUGGGUGAGGGAAAGUUCUGAAUCCAGCCAGGAUGUCACAAAUCUACAGAUGAUGGGUUCAAUGCUGCCAGCAAAGACCGCAGUGCUGUGUGGGACUCCACAUCAGCGGACUUGUUCAUGGUGAGGACUCAGGCCAGGAGAUCCUUCUGCCCCGAGCUUUGUUUCCCCAGCUCAGUUGUGAUAGGGAGUACAGAAAUAAAUAAAGGUAUCUUAUUCUGAUACUCUCAUCUAUGACUUUCAACUCCUAAAACUGUUGGAGUGUCUGAAGGCAUGUCCUUUUGUUUGUUAACAACUGGUGCCUGGUGCUUUAGGAUGGCCUCAAAAUAUAGUUUAGUUGCCAGGAAGUCAACCAUGAAACUGUGAAUUCCCCAAGCCCCCCAUCCCGCACCCCAGCCUCUUCAGAGAAGAAACAACACAGAGACCAAAGUAAUCUCGGAUGGCCAGUGGCUUCAUCAGGCAGUGGGAUGAAUUCUUCUCAUCUUAUGACUAGUACUGCUCUACACUUUCCUCUUGUCAAUGUAAGUGGCCUUGGUGACUUUGAAAAAUAAAAUGGGUAUUUUUGGAGAGCUUCCCAAUUAGAUGGAUGUAUCCAGGUACUGGGAAUGUUUUAUGUCCAGGAUGGGAGGACAUGAAAACCGUGACCACCCCCCCCCCCAUGAUAUCCUUCACCCUACAUAUAUCUCUUGCAUCUGGGGCCUCUGGAGUUGCAUCCUUUUGUGGUGUGCAAGAUAAAUAAGUGUGUUGGUUCAUCUCCAUUGUCUACGUGAUGUAAUUUGGAGUCACCUAGGAGAGAGGUGUGUCUAUAAAGGUAUUUCUGGGAGUACUGAGAAUGGAAAAGCCAUGUUCUUUGUAAGCAACAGCAUCUCAUGUUCUAGGGUACCAGACUGAAUAAAAAGGAGAAAGGAAGCUGAGGGACA
Rattus norvegicus (Norway rat) is the source of this 1488-nucleotide non-coding RNA. Lineage: Eukaryota; Metazoa; Chordata; Mammalia; Rodentia; Muridae. The record is from RefSeq and is a predicted model, not a curated record.